CCCCGGUUUAGGCAGAUGUAGGCGACAGGUAGGCAAAUCCGCCUGUCAUAUACCGAGGCUGCCGAUCGAGCGAGCUUGCUCGCGAAGUGAUUGAACGAGGUUCCAGGAAAAGCCACUAAGCUUCAGCUAACAACGACCGUACCGCAAACCGACACUGGUGCGCGAGAUGAGUAUUCUAAGGCGCUUGAGAGAACUCGGGAGAAGGAACUCGGCAAAUUGACACCGUAACUUCGGAAGAAGGUGUGCCCUAGUAGUGUGAAGUGAACAACGGAGCAUGAAUGGGUUGCAAAAAAUCGGUGGCUGCGACUGUUUAUUAAAAACACAGCACUCUGCAAACACGAAAGUGGACGUAUAGGGUGUGACGCCUGCCCGGUGCUGGAAGAUUAAAUGAUGGGGUGCAAGCUCUUGAUUGAAGUCCCAGUAAACGGCGGCCGUAACAAUAACGGUCCUAAGGUAGCGAAAUUCCUUGUCGGGUAAGUUCCGACCUGCACGAAUGGCGUAACGAUGGCCACACUGUCUCCUCCCGAGACUCAGCGAAGUUGAAAUGUUUGUGAUGAUGCAAUCUCCCCGCGGAAAGACGGAAAGACCCCAUGAACCUUUACUGUAGCUUUGUAUUGGACUUUGAACAGAUCUGUGUAGGAUAGGUGGGAGGCUUUGAAGCAGGGUCGCUAGAUCUUGUGGAGCCAACGUUGAAAUACCACCCUGGUGUGUUUGAGGUUCUAACCUAGGUCCAUUAUCUGGAUCGGGGACAGUGCAUGGUAGGCAGUUUGACUGGGGCGGUCUCCUCCCAAAGUGUAACGGAGGAGUUCGAAGGUACGCUAGUUACGGUCGGACAUCGUGACGAUAGUGCAAUGGCAUAAGCGUGCUUAACUGCGAGACUGACAAGUCGAGCAGAUGCGAAAGCAGGACAUAGUGAUCCGGUGGUUCUGUAUGGAAGGGCCAUCGCUCAACGGAUAAAAGGUACUCUGGGGAUAACAGGCUGAUACCGCCCAAGAGUUCAUAUCGACGGCGGUGUUUGGCACCUCGAUGUCGGCUCAUCUCAUCCUGGGGCUGUAGCCGGUCCCAAGGGUAUGGCUGUUCGCCAUUUAAAGAGGUACGUGAGCUGGGUUUAAAACGUCGUGAGACAGUUUGGUCCCUAUCUUCCGUGGGCGCUGCAGAUUUGAGGAAGCCUGCUCCUAGUACGAGAGGACCGGAGUGGACGCACCUCUGGUGUAUCGGUUGUCACGCCAGUGGCAUUGCCGAGUAGCUAUGUGCGGAAGAGAUAACCGCUGAAAGCAUCUAAGCGGGAAACUCGUUCCAAGAUGAGAUCUGCCGGGGCCUUGAGCCCCCUAAAGAGUCGUUCAAGACCAGGACGUUGAUAGGUCAGGUGUGGAAGCGCAGUAAUGCGUUAAGCUAACUGAUACUAAUUGCUCGUGCGGCUUGACCCU
RNAcentral lists this ribosomal RNA (1427 nucleotides) under metagenome. RNAcentral describes it as "bacterial LSU rRNA". It matches the Rfam family "Bacterial large subunit ribosomal RNA", at positions 1505 to 2925 of the family's 2925-position model. The record is from RNAcentral.